UAAUACAGAGGUCCCAAGCGUUGUUCGGAUUCACUGGGCGUAAAGGGUGCGUAGGUGGUUGGGUAAGUCUGAGGUGAAAUCUCCGAGCUUAACUCGGAAACUGCCUUGGAUACUAUCCAGCUUGAGGGUUGGAGGGGGGACUGGAAUUCUCGGUGUAGCAGUGAAAUGCGUAGAUAUCGAGAGGAACACCAGUGGCGAAGGCGAGUCCCUGGACAACUCCUGACACUGAGGCACGAAAGCUAGGGGAGCAAACAGGAUUAGAUACCCUGGUAGUCCUAGCCGUAAACGGUGCACGUUUGCUGUAAGAGGAAUCGACCCCUUUUGUGGCGAAGCUAACGCGUUAAACGUGCCGCCUGGGAAGUACGGUCGCAAGAUU
This 376-nucleotide ribosomal RNA is filed under the name uncultured bacterium. Its description in RNAcentral is "bacterial SSU rRNA". It matches the Rfam family "Bacterial small subunit ribosomal RNA", at positions 521 to 895 of the family's 1533-position model. The record is from RNAcentral.